AGUCUCAAAAUGAACGGUUGAAAAUAAAAAUCUCAUAAAAAAUAGUGAUAAAGGAAUCAAAUUUCAAAUCAGAAGUAUUGUUCUUGCUCUUGAUGUUAAGUAGAAUUUUCUAUUAAAGUUUCAUAUAAUUUGGAUACUUCUACACCGUUGAACUUAAAAACAUGCCACAUCGGCCGUUAAAGUAGUCAUUUUUGAGACCCUUUGAUCGUUUGGUAAAUGAAGUCGAAAAAUUAUAAAAUUUGCUUUCCAGAUAUUUCCAAUAGCAUAGAUUAUGUCUAACGGAACCGAUCGUCGAAUCGGAUGUCCUAUCAUCAUCGAAAACAAUUUAUAAGCACAGAGACCUCCAU
RNAcentral lists this long non-coding RNA (347 nucleotides) under Ananas comosus (pineapple). RNAcentral describes it as "long non-coding RNA (ACOM_LNC043125)". The record is from RNAcentral. Lineage: Eukaryota; Viridiplantae; Streptophyta; Magnoliopsida; Poales; Bromeliaceae.